This is a non-coding RNA of Carica papaya (papaya), 1982 nucleotides long. The record is from RefSeq and is a predicted model, not a curated record. Lineage: Eukaryota; Viridiplantae; Streptophyta; Magnoliopsida; Brassicales; Caricaceae.
GUAGGAGGAAUGUAGGUUAAAGUUGGAUCAAGGGGGCCGAACCCAAAUGAAGAGCAAUUGGAUUAGGGUAUUUUGCAAGAGAGACGAACGAUCCAGCCUGUUCGGUGCUGUCAAUAGCUCUAUAUAUUUUCAUCUUGUUGGUGUUUUGGGAGGUAGGGUUUAUAAAUUCAUCGUUAACCCCAAGAGGUAGAACGCGCCGCUUCUGAGCAAGUCUGCAUGUAGUUGUGCUUUCAUAGAAUCUUUCCAGAGGAGACGGAUGCUAUGGGACCUGUCGCGAAACAGCAAGAGAAAGAAGAUGACGACGACGAUGAAGAUGAAGGAAACAUCACGCAUCAUGAAGAUGCAGUCCUUCCGUCGAAUCAGUAAUUAACCAAAAUAAUCCGUCGAUGGAACCUACCGACUCCAUGAAAUCCUCCUCGAUCUGCCUCUUCGUUAAUGGUAACGAGGACUUCACCCUCUUCUUCUUUUCCGACAGUCCUCCUCUUUUCCUACUCCUCGGCGAUUUCAUCUCCUUCUCUUUCCUUCUUCUCAGUCCUCAAUCCUUUAUUGUUGCUGUAGUCCACAUUCUGGUGGUUCUCAGAUUCCACGACCUCACCUCUUCAGCCGCCGCAGGGGAUUCUUCUCUUUCCGUCUUCUUCAACUUAUCUUUUUCUUUCUCCACCCCUUCUCUUCUACAAGGCCAGUAAUUCAUGGAUAUAUAUAUAAAUGUCAUUACUUUUCAAAACCUGAGCAAUGUUAAUCUGUCUGUCUGGCCAUCCAAGAAACAUAUACAGAUGGUUAUGGUCCUCCUUGGUAGAAUGCGGAAAGUACUAGCGCUUACUUUCUAUGGCUUGUACCAGAACUAUAUUAAAUUGAUUAAGAAUAUAAGCUCAGAAGAGUUUGAUUUGCAGCGAAAGAGGAUUGCUUUGAAAUUAAAUUCCAUAUAUUUUAAUGAAGGGUCAUCUGAAGCUGCAGAUCUUGCUGCUGGCUCUGUCAUCGAGAUUCUCUUCUACAGGGCCAGUAAUUCAUGGACAUAUGCAAAUGCCAUUACUUUUCAUGACCAAAGUAAUGUCUGUCUGUCUGGCCAUCCAAGAAACAUGCCUAGAUGAUUAUAAUCCUCCUCAGUAGAAUGCGGAAUGUACGUAUAGCCUACUUUCUCAUGCUUGCACAAGAACAACCUUCAUGCGUAUCUCUUUUGGAAUGGAGCUUAGAAAACCUUGAGGCUGUUGGGAUACCAAAUUUUCUGGAAUAUAUUUACGUUAACAAGUUUGUUGGACAUGAGAUUGAUCUUUGCCUAGUGAAAGUUUUCCUUGAAAUGCAAAAGCAUUAGUGAAGUUGACCAUCUCUUCCGUAUGGAACGGUACUCAAGCUGAUGAUGGAAACAAGUCUAAGAUUAUAGAAAAGUUAUUGGCAUUUCUAAUAGCUUCAACAAGAAUGGAAGUACUUCUCUUGUAACUUAAUUUUUGUUGCUGAAAAGAGCUUCUCUUCUACCAGGCCAGUAAUGCAUGGACAUAUGCAAAUGCACUUACUUUUUGCAACCAUAGCAAUGUCUAUCUGUCUAUCUGGCCGUCCAAAAAACAUGUACAGAUAAUUAUAAUCUUUCUCAGUAGAAUGCCGAAUGUAUAUAAUGCCCACUUUCUCAUGCUUGCACAAGAUAGACUAAGCAGCUUACCAGAAGAUCAACUUACAGUUUGUCCAAAACUGGAGAUACACCUAUGAGUCUCUUCCUAUUCUUGUAUUUGAUUCCUUCCAAUUUGUUGCUGCUGAAAGUGGGUUGGGUUACGUUCUUUUCUUGGCAAUGCUAUAAGGAAAAAUGCAAUGAAUCUAUGAUGGGUUAUUGUCUACAAUUUAACUCUUUUUUUUCUUGCAUUUUGGGAGACUUACGUAACUGAAGUUUACGUCUUGUAUUGUAUUAUUAGAUACUUAUAUUGACAAUGUUAUAUGAAUUAAUAACAAAUGAUAGGUCGGUCUUUAUAUGAAAGUGAUUGUUACUCUAUUUAACA